Acanthosepion pharaonis is the source of this 113-nucleotide non-coding RNA. NCBI's taxonomy places the organism in Eukaryota, Metazoa, Mollusca, Cephalopoda, Sepiida, Sepiidae. The record is from the annotation of a GenBank genome assembly.
UAUGGUCACAUCAUCUUGAAACACCGGUUCCUGUACAAUCACUGAAGUUAACCAACGUUGAGCCUGGUCAGUACCUAGAUGGGUGACCACUUGGAAAUACCAAGUACUGUAAG